AGGACGAACGCUGGCGGCGUGCUCAACACAUGCAAGUCGAGCGGUAAGGCUCCUUCGGGAGUACACGAGCGGCGAACGGGUGAGUAACACGUGAGCAAUCUGCCCUUCUCUUCGGAAUAACCAUUGGAAACGAUGGCUAAUGCCGAAUACGACCUCCUUUCGCAUGAUCGGAGGUGGAAAGCUCCGGCGGAGAAGGAUGAGCUCGCGGCCUAUCAGCUAGUUGGCGGGGUAACGGCCCACAAGGCGACGACGGGUAGCCGGCCUGAGAGGGUGACCGGCCACACGUGGGACUGAGACACGGCCCAGACCUCCGUACGGGA
This 320-nucleotide ribosomal RNA is filed under the name uncultured soil bacterium. RNAcentral's name for it is "bacterial SSU rRNA". It matches the Rfam family "Bacterial small subunit ribosomal RNA", at positions 26 to 346 of the family's 1533-position model. The record is from RNAcentral.